This 564-nucleotide ribosomal RNA is filed under the name Archibracon sp. NL493. RNAcentral's name for it is "eukaryotic LSU rRNA". It matches the Rfam family "Eukaryotic large subunit ribosomal RNA", at positions 444 to 796 of the family's 3401-position model. The record is from RNAcentral. Lineage: Eukaryota; Metazoa; Arthropoda; Insecta; Hymenoptera; Braconidae.
UAUGAUAUGGGUNCCNACGUGUAGUAUUGCCUGUACAUUCUUGUAUAUUUAAUUGUAAGAUGUUGUCGGCGUGCACUUCUCCCCUAGUAGGACGUCGCGACCCGUUGAGUGUUGGUCUACGGCCCAAGUGGUAGCUUUUGAUGAAUUUUAUUCAUUGAAAACCCUUGGUGUCUCCUGACUGGCACUCGUCGGUAUUCGUAUGGUAUUGAGCCGCAUAUUAUAUAUGCGUCCAUAUCUGUCGCAAGCGAGGCUAGUUACUGAUAGUGCGGACCUAGUGCCGUCGUUGGUACUAAUCAGCUGUUGGUCGUACAGAAUUCUAGGACUGGCUCGUUGAAAUAUACCGGUCAGCGAUGCUACUGCUUUGGGUACUUUCAGGACCCGUCUUGAAACACGGACCAAGGAGUCUAACAUGUACGCGAGUCAUUGGGAUUUUUAUAAAUUAAACCUAAAGGCGUAAUGAAAGUAAAGGUCGUCCUUGUGUCGACUAAGGGAGGAUGAGCUGUGUUACGAGACAGCUUCGCACUCUCGGGGCGUCUCAUUCUCAUUGCGAGAAGAGGCGCACCU